AAGUCGUAACAAGGUUUCCGUAGGUGAACCUGCGGAAGGAUCAUUAGUGAAUAUUAGGGUGCCUCACUGCUUCUUGUAGUUGAGGGCCUGACCUCCACUCUCUAACACUUGUGCACUAAAAAAAUUGUGAUUGAAACGGCUCUCUUACGACAGCCUGACUAGAUCACUUUUUUUCCCAAUUACAAUACUCCAAAAGUCAAAGAAUGUUACCAAAACCAUAACAAAAUAAAA
RNAcentral lists this unclassified non-coding RNA (231 nucleotides) under plant metagenome. RNAcentral's name for it is "partial contains small subunit ribosomal RNA and internal transcribed spacer 1". The stretch from base 1 to 46 matches the Rfam family "Eukaryotic small subunit ribosomal RNA", at positions 1786 to 1831 of the family's 1831-position model. The record is from RNAcentral.